AGAGUUUGAUCCUGGCUCAGGACGAACGCUGGCGGCGUGCCUAAUACAUGCAAGUCGAGCGGACUGAUGGGAGCUUGCUCCCUGAUGUUAGCGGCGGACGGGUGAGUAACACGUGGGCAACCUGCCUGUAAGACUGGGAUAACUCCGGGAAACCGGGGCUAAUACCGGAUAAUUCAUUUCCCCGCGUGGGGAAAUGCUGAAAGACGGUUUCGGCUGUCACUUACAGAUGGGCCCGCGGCGCAUUAGCUAGUUGGUGAGGUAACGGCUCACCAAGGCAACGAUGCGUAGCCGACCUGAGAGGGUGAUCGGCCACACUGGGACUGAGACACGGCCCAGACUCCUACGGGAGGCAGCAGUAGGGAAUCUUCCGCAAUGGACGAAAGUCUGACGGAGCAACGCCGCGUGAGUGAUGAAGGUUUUCGGAUCGUAAAGCUCUGUUGUUAGGGAAGAACAAGUGCGAGAGUAACUGCUCGCACCUUGACGGUACCUAACCAGAAAGCCACGGCUAACUACGUGCCAGCAGCCGCGGUAAUACGUAGGUGGCAAGCGUUGUCCGGAAUUAUUGGGCGUAAAGGGCUCGCAGGCGGUUUCUUAAGUCUGAUGUGAAAGCCCCCGGCUCAACCGGGGAGGGUCAUUGGAAACUGGGAAACUUGAGUGCAGAAGAGGAGAGUGGAAUUCCACGUGUAGCGGUGAAAUGCGUAGAGAUGUGGAGGAACACCAGUGGCGAAGGCGACUCUCUGGUCUGUAACUGACGCUGAGGAGCGAAAGCGUGGGGAGCGAACAGGAUUAGAUACCCUGGUAGUCCACGCCGUAAACGAUGAGUGCUAAGUGUUAGGGGGUUUCCGCCCCUUAGUGCUGCAGCUAACGCAUUAAGCACUCCGCCUGGGGAGUACGGUCGCAAGACUGAAACUCAAAGGAAUUGACGGGGGCCCGCACAAGCGGUGGAGCAUGUGGUUUAAUUCGAAGCAACGCGAAGAACCUUACCAGGUCUUGACAUCCUCUGACAACCCUAGAGAUAGGGCUUUCCCUUCGGGGACAGAGUGACAGGUGGUGCAUGGUUGUCGUCAGCUCGUGUCGUGAGAUGUUGGGUUAAGUCCCGCAACGAGCGCAACCCUUGAUCUUAGUUGCCAGCAUUCAGUUGGGCACUCUAAGGUGACUGCCGGUGACAAACCGGAGGAAGGUGGGGAUGACGUCAAAUCAUCAUGCCCCUUAUGACCUGGGCUACACACGUGCUACAAUGGACAGAACAAAGGGCUGCAAGACCGCAAGGUUUAGCCAAUCCCAUAAAUCUGUUCUCAGUUCGGAUCGCAGUCUGCAACUCGACUGCGUGAAGCUGGAAUCGCUAGUAAUCGCGGAUCAGCAUGCCGCGGUGAAUACGUUCCCGGGCCUUGUACACACCGCCCGUCACACCACGAGAGUUUGCAACACCCGAAGUCGGUGAGGUAACCUUUAUGGAGCCAGCCGCCGAAGGUGGGGCAGAUGAUUGGGGUGAAGUCGUAACAAGGUAACCGUA
Molecule: ribosomal RNA, 1513 nt
Filed under: uncultured bacterium
Lineage: Bacteria
Description: bacterial SSU rRNA
Rfam family: Bacterial small subunit ribosomal RNA
Source: RNAcentral